RNAcentral lists this transfer RNA (83 nucleotides) under Exophiala spinifera. It matches the Rfam family "tRNA", at positions 6 to 65 of the family's 71-position model. From Rfam's summary of the family: Transfer RNA (tRNA) molecules are approximately 80 nucleotides in length. Lineage: Eukaryota; Fungi; Ascomycota; Eurotiomycetes; Chaetothyriales; Herpotrichiellaceae. The record is from Rfam by way of RNAcentral.
ACUGGCCCAAUGGCAAGGCGCUUGACUACGAAACACGAACCAAAACGUGUGCAAUCAAGAGAUUGCAGGUUCGAUCCCUGCGU